ACUAAGACCGACUUUCGUCCCUGUUCGACUUGUAGGUCUCACAGUCAAGCUUCCUUAUGCCUUUACACUCU
Molecule: transfer RNA, 71 nt
Filed under: Chaetoceros curvisetus
Lineage: Eukaryota; Bacillariophyta; Thalassiosirophyceae; Chaetocerotales; Chaetocerotaceae
Source: RNAcentral